Molecule: ribosomal RNA, 368 nt
Filed under: uncultured bacterium
Lineage: Bacteria
Description: bacterial SSU rRNA
Rfam family: Bacterial small subunit ribosomal RNA
Source: RNAcentral
GACGAACGCUGGCGGCGUGCUUAACACAUGCAAGUCGAGCGGUAAGGCCCUUUCGGGGGUACGACGAGCGGCGAACGGGUGAGUAACACGUGGGUGGACCUGCCCUCCAGCUCUGGGAUAAGCCUGGGAAACUGGGUCUAAUACUGGAUAUGACUCCACGGUGCAUGUCGUGGGGUGGAAAGCCUUGUGCGGCUGAGGAUGGGCCCGCGGCCUAUCAGCUUGUUGGUGGGGUGAUGGCCUACCAAGGCGACGACGGGUAGCCGGCCUGAGAGGGCGACCGGCCACACUGGGACUGAGACACGGCCCAGACUCCUACGGGAGGCAGCAGUGGGGAAUCUUGCGCAAUGGGCGAAAGCCUGACGCAGCGA